UGAGGAACAUGACUUUCGGCGGGGGAUAGCCGGCCCAACGGCCGGGUAAUACCGCGUACGACCUUUUGGGGACAUCCCUAGGUGGUGAAAGCAGCAAUGCGCCGAUGGAGUGCCUCGCGGCCUAUCAGCUAGUUGGUGAGGUAACGGCUCACCAAGGCGACGACGGGUAGCUGGUCUGAGAGGAUGGCCAGCCACAGUUGGGACUGAGACACCGGCCCAGACCUCCGUACGGGAGGNAGCG
Molecule: ribosomal RNA, 241 nt
Filed under: uncultured bacterium
Lineage: Bacteria
Description: partial 16S ribosomal RNA
Rfam family: Bacterial small subunit ribosomal RNA
Source: RNAcentral